RNAcentral lists this unclassified non-coding RNA (331 nucleotides) under soil metagenome. RNAcentral's name for it is "partial contains 5.8S ribosomal RNA, internal transcribed spacer 2, and large subunit ribosomal RNA". The stretch from base 1 to 120 matches the Rfam family "5.8S ribosomal RNA", at positions 35 to 154 of the family's 154-position model. The record is from RNAcentral.
GAUGAAGAACGUAGCGAAAUGCGAUAAGUAAUGUGAAUUGCAGAAUUCAGUGAAUCAUCGAAUCUUUGAACGCACAUUGCGCCCCCUGGUAUUCCGGGGGGCAUGCCUGUUCGAGCGUCAUUUCACCACUCAAGCCUCGCUUGGUAUUGGGCAACGCGGUCCGCCGCGUGCCUCAAAUCGACCGGCUGGGUCUUCUGUCCCCUAAGCGUUGUGGAAACUAUUCGCUAAAGGGUGUUCGGGAGGCUACGCCGUAAAACAACCCCAUUUCUAAGGUUGACCUCGGAUCAGGUAGCGAUACCCGCUGAACUUAAGCAUAUCAAUAAGCGGAGGA